AGGUUGGAGGUGGAAGUGCAGCAAUGCAUGGAGCUGACCAAUACUAAUCGGUCGAGGGCUUAUCCUAUA
Molecule: ribosomal RNA, 69 nt
Filed under: Paenibacillus odorifer
Lineage: Bacteria; Bacillati; Bacillota; Bacilli; Caryophanales; Paenibacillaceae
Description: partial 23S ribosomal RNA
Source: RNAcentral